UACAGAGGGACCGAGCGUUGUCCGGAAUCAUUGGGCGUAAAGAGCGUGUAGGCGGCCAACUAAGUCCUGCGUGAAAUCUCGGGGCUCAACCCCGAGCGGUCGUGGGAAACUGGUUGGCUAGAGUUCGGUAGGGGAGACUGGAAUUCCUGGUGUAGCGGUGAAAUGCGCAGAUAUCAGGAGGAACACCGGUGGCGAAGGCGGGUCUCUGGGCCGAUACUGACGCUGAGGAGCGAAAGCGUGGGGAGCGAACAGG
This 253-nucleotide ribosomal RNA is filed under the name uncultured bacterium. RNAcentral describes it as "partial 16S ribosomal RNA". It matches the Rfam family "Bacterial small subunit ribosomal RNA", at positions 524 to 776 of the family's 1533-position model. The record is from RNAcentral.